CCACGCCCUAAACGAUGUCUACUAGUUGUCGGGUCUUAAUUGACUUGGUAACGCAGCUAACGCGUGAAGUAGACCGCCUGGGGAGUACGGUCGCAAGAUUAAAACUCAAAGGAAUUGACGGGGACCCGCACAAGCGGUGGAUGAUGUGGAUUAAUUCGAUGCAACGCGAAAAACCUUACCUACCCUUGACAUGUCAGGAACCUCCGAGAGAUUGGAGGGUGCCCGAAAGGGAGCCUGAACACAGGUGCUGCAUGGCUGU
This 259-nucleotide ribosomal RNA is filed under the name uncultured bacterium. Its description in RNAcentral is "partial 16S ribosomal RNA". It matches the Rfam family "Bacterial small subunit ribosomal RNA", at positions 795 to 1052 of the family's 1533-position model. The record is from RNAcentral.